CGUCUAUAUACGUAUAGCAUAUCAAUAAGCGGAGGAAAAGAAACUAACUAGGAUUCCCUCAGUAACGGCGAGUGAAGCGGGAAGAGCUCAAAUUUGAAAUCUUCAAGGUUCUACCUUGACGAAUUGUAGUUUAAAGAAGUGUUUUCUGUUGGAGUUUUGGUAAAAGUUCUUUGGAAUAGGACAUCAUAGAGGGUGAGAAUCCCGUAUUUGACCAUUAUUUUCAACUGUGUGAUACACUUUCGAAGAGUCGGAUUGUUUGGGAAUGCAGUCCAAAAUGGGUGGUAAAUUUCAUCUAAAGCUAAAUAUUGGCGAGAGACCGAUAGCGAACAAGUACCGUGAGGGAAAGAUGAAAAGAACUUUGAAAAGAGAGUUAAACAGUACGUGAAAUUGUCAAAAGGGAAGCGUUUGACACCAGUGUUGUUUUCUCGAAAAUCAAUUAAAAAUGGCGGGAUUUUGUGUUGUAUUGACUUUAUCAGCUUUCUGCACUUUUUUCCUACCUUUUUUAAUGCACUUUUCGUUUAACAAGUCAACAUCAAUUUCUUUUGUUGUAAAAGGGUCAUUGGAAGGUGGCUUUCUUUUCGGAGAAAGUGUUUAUAGCCUUUGACUUCUGCAAUCGGAGAGAUUGAGGUCUGCAGCGUAGAUCCUUCGGGGUUAGAUACAUUUGUGCUAAGCUAUAGCCCUUCAUAGACAACUUGUUGACUAUGAUCAGUCAUGUAGCUUACUCGCUUAUGCUAUUUUACCUACGCUUAGGAUGUUGAUCUGUAGUGCGUGCGC
Molecule: ribosomal RNA, 774 nt
Filed under: uncultured Neocallimastigales
Lineage: Eukaryota; Fungi; Neocallimastigomycota; Neocallimastigomycetes; Neocallimastigales
Description: partial large subunit ribosomal RNA
Rfam family: Eukaryotic large subunit ribosomal RNA
Source: RNAcentral